This 295-nucleotide long non-coding RNA is filed under the name Oncorhynchus mykiss (rainbow trout). RNAcentral describes it as "lncRNA (ENSOMYG00000068244.1)". The record is from RNAcentral. Lineage: Eukaryota; Metazoa; Chordata; Actinopteri; Salmoniformes; Salmonidae.
GGAGCAGGGUAGUGUGUAUAACUAGGGAGCAGGGUAGUGUAUAUAUCUAAGGAGCAGGGUAGUGUAUAUAUCUAGGGAGCAGGGUAGUGUCUAUAACUAGGGAGCAGGGUAGUGUGUAUAACUAGGGUAGUGUAUAUAUCUAGGGAGCAGGGUAGUGUGUAUAACUAGGGUAGUGUAUAUAACUAGGGUAGUGUAUAUAACUAGGGUAGUGUAUAUAUCUAGGGAGCAGGGUAGUGUAUAUCUAAGGAGCAGGGUAGUGUAUAUAACUAGGGAGCAGGGUAGUGUCUAUAACUAG